This 460-nucleotide ribosomal RNA is filed under the name uncultured bacterium. RNAcentral's name for it is "partial 16S ribosomal RNA". It matches the Rfam family "Bacterial small subunit ribosomal RNA", at positions 338 to 795 of the family's 1533-position model. The record is from RNAcentral.
CCUACGGGUGGCAGCAGUGAGGAAUAUUGGUCAAUGGACGAGAGUCUGAACCAGCCAAGUAGCGUGAAGGAUGACUGCCCUAUGGGUUGUAAACUUCUUUUAUAUGGGAAUAAAAUGUUCCACGUGUGGGAUUUUGUAUGUACCAUAUGAAUAAGGAUCGGCUAACUCCGUGCCAGCAGCCGCGGUAAUACGGAGGACCCGAGCGUUAUCCGGAUUUAUUGGGUUUAAAGGGAGCGUAGGUGGAUUUUUAAGUCAGUUGUGAAAGUUUGCGGCUCAACCGUAAAAUUGCAGUUGAAACUGGCAGUCUUGAGUACAGUAGAGGUGGGCGGAAUUCGUGGUGUAGCGGUGAAAUGCUUAGAUAUCACGAAGAACUCCGAUUGCGAAGGCAGUUCACUGGACUGCAACUGACACUGAGGCUCGAAAGUGUGGGUAUCAAACAGGAUUAGAUACCCUGGUAGUC